UGGUGUCAGGGCUGUGUUAACUAGGCGGGUGUCCCCUUCCUCCCUUACCACUCCAUGUGACUCCCUCUCAAAGCUGUGUACUUGGUGAAGAGGACAACCAUCCUAGAUAGAAGGAAUGUACUGAUCUUCAGUAAAAGGUAUACAGUGGCUGCCUUCUCCUGCUAGGAUCUCCAAACAAGUUCACAUAGACACUGCACAUCAUUUCAUAAGAAAUAUCUUGUCAACAAAGACCACAUUUUCUUAGAACACUAUAUACACUAUAUAUACUAUUCAUCA
Molecule: small nuclear RNA, 276 nt
Filed under: Notechis scutatus (mainland tiger snake)
Lineage: Eukaryota; Metazoa; Chordata; Lepidosauria; Squamata; Elapidae
Description: 7SK RNA (ENSNSUG00000007678.1)
Rfam family: 7SK RNA
About the family: 7SK was discovered as an abundant small nuclear RNA in the mid-70s but a possible function has only recently been suggested. Two independent studies have found that 7SK RNA binds the CDK9/cyclin T complex (known as elongation factor P-TEFb). P-TEFb activates transcription by phosphorylating the C-terminal domain of RNA polymerase II.
Source: Rfam by way of RNAcentral